This 155-nucleotide small nuclear RNA is filed under the name Carlito syrichta (Philippine tarsier). RNAcentral describes it as "U1 spliceosomal RNA (ENSTSYG00000022344.2)". It matches the Rfam family "U1 spliceosomal RNA". Rfam says of the family: U1 is a small nuclear RNA (snRNA) component of the spliceosome (involved in pre-mRNA splicing). Its 5' end forms complementary base pairs with the 5' splice junction, thus defining the 5' donor site of an intron. The record is from RNAcentral. Lineage: Eukaryota; Metazoa; Chordata; Mammalia; Primates; Tarsiidae.
AUUCUUACCUGGUAAAGGAGAUUCUGUGAUCACAAAGGCAGUUUUCCUAGAGUGAGCCUUGUCUAUUACACUGGUGUUGUGCUGAACCCUGAGAUUCUUCCCCAUAAGAAACUCAACAGCAGAAUUUGUGCUACAGAAUUUGUGCUAGCAAAAAA